Molecule: ribosomal RNA, 744 nt
Filed under: uncultured bacterium
Lineage: Bacteria
Description: bacterial SSU rRNA
Rfam family: Bacterial small subunit ribosomal RNA
Source: RNAcentral
AGAGUUUGAUCAUGGCUCAGAACGAACGCUGGCGGCAGGCCUCAAACAUGCAAGUCUAGGGGGUGUAGCAAUACAUCACCGGCGGACGGGUGCGUAACACGUGGGAAUAUACCUUUUGGUUCGGAACAACGCAGGGAAACUUGCGCUAAUACCGAAUGUGCCCUUACGGGGAAAGAUUUAUCGCCAAAGGAUUAGCCCGCGUAGGAUUAGCUAGUUGGUGAGGUAAUGGCUCACCAAGGCUCCGAUCCUUAGCUGUUCUGAGAGGAAGAUCAGCCACACUGGGACUGAGACACGGCCCAGACUCCUACGGGAGGCAGCAGUUGGGAAUCUUGGACAAUGGGGGAAACCCUGAUCCAGCCAUGCCGCGUGAGUGAUGAAGGCCUUCGGGUUGUAAAACUCUUUCGACGGGGACGAUAAUGACGGUACCCGUAGAAGAAGCUCCGGCUAACUUCGUGCCAGCAGCCGCGGUAAUACGAAGGGGGCUAGCGUUGUUCGGAAUUACUGGGCGUAAAGCGCGCGCAGGCGGUCUUCCAAGUCAGUGGUGAAAGCCCGGAGCUCAACUCCGGAACUGCCAUUGAAACUGUAAGACUUGAGGACGAGAGAGGUGAGUGGAAUUCCCAGUGUAGAGGUGAAAUUCGUAGAUAUUGGGAAGAACACCGGUGGCGAAGGCGGCUCACUGGCUCGUAUCUGACGCUCAGGCGCGACAGCGUGGGGAUCAAACAGGAUUAGAUACCCUAGUAGUCC